RNAcentral lists this ribosomal RNA (454 nucleotides) under uncultured bacterium. RNAcentral describes it as "partial 16S ribosomal RNA". It matches the Rfam family "Bacterial small subunit ribosomal RNA", at positions 28 to 507 of the family's 1533-position model. The record is from RNAcentral.
GAUGAACGCUGACAGAAUGCUUAACACAUGCAAGUCAACUUGAACUUCGGUUUGGGUGGCGGACGGGUGAGUCACGCGUAAAGAACUUGCCUCACAGCUAGGGACAACAUUUGGAAACGAAUGCUAAUACCUGAUAUUAUGAUUUUAGGGCAUCCUAGAAUUAUGAAAGCUAUAUGCGCUGUGAGAGAGCUUUGCGUCCCAUUAGCUAGUUGGAGAGGUAACGGCUCACCAAGGCGAUGAUGGGUAGCCGGCCUGAGAGGGUGAGCGGCCACAAGGGGAAGGAGCAGCGCCCUUUCCACCGAGGGGAGGCAAAGGGGGGAAAUAUGGGAAAAAGGCCAAAGAGUUUUAUCGAGCAUUUGGGUGGGAAGAAUAAAGUUUUUGGAAAUGAAAAUGUUUUUAAGUUGGAAAAAAAAAAAUGAGGUUACCAAAAAAAGAGGGGAGGGCAAAAACGGUC